Molecule: long non-coding RNA, 557 nt
Filed under: Heterocephalus glaber (naked mole-rat)
Lineage: Eukaryota; Metazoa; Chordata; Mammalia; Rodentia; Bathyergidae
Description: lncRNA (ENSHGLG00000048023.1)
Source: RNAcentral
CAAGCUUUCAAAACAUGAUUUGGCACUUUAUAUUUAAAUGAUAACAGAGUUCUGGAGACUGGAAGUCCAAGGUCAAGUUGUCAGAAGAUCAGGGGUCUAGAGAGGAUUCUUUCUGGUUUUCAGAUAUUUGCCUUCUUGAUAUGUCCUCACAUGGAAGAGAGAGCUGCCUACUUGAGCCUCAGAAAAAGGGGAGUCUCUUCAAAUCAGUGCAGCCACAAAAGCUGUGCUAAAGGAAGUGCAUUGUCUGGGCAUGUAUUGUGUGCUGUGGCCUUUGGGGAAAGUAUACAAAGAGAACAAAUGAUUCAUCAACAGAUUUCUGGCAGUUUGGUCUUCCUCAGACAGCCUGAAAAGAAAAUAUUGCAAACCAAAAAUGAAAAUGAGAGGGAGAGCAUGUACAAGAACCUGUAUGCAGGCAUGUGAUAGGACAUGAGGAAAUGGAUUUCAAAGAGAGAAACUGGACUGUGACUAACAGCUAAUGUAAAUUCAAAGGGCUAAAUCUGAAUUCACUCCCUGUUAGUGAAAUAUGGUUCAAGAAACGUCAAGUAGGAAAAGAGCAG